This 1514-nucleotide ribosomal RNA is filed under the name Providencia rettgeri. RNAcentral describes it as "bacterial SSU rRNA". It matches the Rfam family "Bacterial small subunit ribosomal RNA". The record is from RNAcentral. Lineage: Bacteria; Pseudomonadati; Pseudomonadota; Gammaproteobacteria; Enterobacterales; Morganellaceae.
UCCGGCCUGACGACCGACUAAAACAUGCAGUCGAGCGGUAACAGGGGAAGCUUGCUUCUCGCUGACGAGCGGCGGACGGGUGAGUAAUGUAUGGGGAUCUGCCCGAUAGAGGGGGAUAACUACUGGAAACGGUAGCUAAUACCGCAUAAUCUCUCAGGAGCAAAGCAGGGGAACUUCGGUCCUUGCGCUAUCGGAUGAACCCAUAUGGGAUUAGCUAGUAGGUGAGGUAAUGGCUCACCUAGGCGACGAUCCCUAGCUGGUCUGAGAGGAUGAUCAGCCACACUGGGACUGAGACACGGCCCAGACUCCUACGGGAUGGCAUGCACGAUGGGGACAUAUAUUGUCACAAAUGGGCGUCAAGCCUGAUAGCAGCCAAUGCCGCGCUGUAUUGAAGAAGGCCCUUAGGGUUGUUAAAAUGUAUCUUUUCAGUCCGGAGGAAGGGCGUUGUUGCUAUAUUAUCAACAACGGAUAGACGUUUACCGACAGAAGAAGGCCACCGGCUAAAUUCCGUGUCCAGCAGGCCGCGGUAAAUACGGAGGGGUGCAAGCGUUAAAUCGGAAAUUACUUGGGCGUUAAAGCCGCACGCCAGGCGGUUGAUUUAAGUUAUGAUAAUGAAAUCCCUCGGGCUUAACCUGUGGAAUGGCCAUCUAAGACUGGUCAGCUAGAGUCUUGUAGAGGGGGGGUAGAAUUCCAUGUGUAGCGGUGAAAUGCGUAGAGAUGUGGGAGGAAUACCGGUGGCGAAGGCGGCCCCCCUGGACAAAGACUGACGCUCAGGUGCGAAAAGCGUGGGGAGAGCAAACAGGAUUAGAUACCCUGGUAGUCCACGCUGUAAAACGAUGUCGAUUUGAAGGUUGUUCCCUAGAGGAGUGGCUUUCGGAGCUAACGCGUUAAAUCGACCGCCUGGGGAGUACGGCCGCAAGGUUAAAACUCAAAUGAAUUGACGGGGGCCCGCACAAGCGGUGGAGCAUGUUGGUUUAAUUCGAUUGCAACGCCGAAGAACCUUACCUACUCUUGACAUCCAAAGAAUUUAGCAAGAAGAUGCUGUAGUGCCUUCCGGGAACUCUGAGACAGGUGCUGCAUUGGCUGUCGUCAGCUCGUGGUGUGAAAUUGUUGGGUUAAGUCCCGCAACGAAGCGCAACCCUUAUCCUUUGUUGCCAGCAAUUCGGUCGGGAACUCAAAGGAGACUGCCGGUGAUAAACCGGAAGAAGGUGGGGAUGACGUCAAGUUCAUCAUGGCCCUUACGAGUAGGGCUACACACGGGCUACAAUGGCGUAUACACAAGAGAAGCGACCUCGCGAGAGCAAGCGGAACUCAUAAAGUACGUUGUAGUCCGGAUUGGAGUUUGCAACUUGACUCCAUGAAGUCGGAAUCGCUAGUAAUUGUAGAUCAGAAUGCUACGGUGAAUACGUUCCCGGGCCUUGUACACACCGCCCGUCACACCAUGGGAGUGGGUUGCAAAAGAAGUAGGUAGCUUAACCUCGGGAGGGCGGUAACAUUUGGGAAUAUGUCCGGCC